AAAGCGGCGCACGGGUGAGUAACACGUGAGUUACCUAUCCUCGAGAUCGGGAUAACAUUCCGAAAGGAUUGCUAAUACCGAAUAAGACCACUAAGUGGUAAAAGAUGGCCUCUCCAUGGAAGCUGUCACUUGAGGGCGGGCUCNCGUCCCAUUAGCUAGUUGGUAAGGUAACGGCUUACCAAGGCGACGAUGGGUAGCUGGUCUGAGAGGACGACCAGCCACACUGGGACUGGAACACGGCCCANACUCCUACGGGAGGCAGCAGUGAGGAAUCUUGCGCAAUGGGGGCAACCCUGACGCAGCGACGCCGCGUGUGUGAUGAANGCUUUCGGGUCGUAAAGCACUGUCGAGAGGGAAGAAUGGUUUUUAGGUUAAUAGCCUAAUCGCUUGACGGUACCUCCAAAGGAAGCACCGGCUAACUCC
RNAcentral lists this ribosomal RNA (423 nucleotides) under uncultured Nitrospinaceae bacterium. RNAcentral describes it as "bacterial SSU rRNA". It matches the Rfam family "Bacterial small subunit ribosomal RNA", at positions 92 to 504 of the family's 1533-position model. Lineage: Bacteria; Pseudomonadati; Nitrospinota; Nitrospinia; Nitrospinales; Nitrospinaceae. The record is from RNAcentral.